GGGUUGUGAGGUUAAGCGACUAAGCGUACACGGUGGAUGCCUAGGCAGUCAGAGGCGAUGAAGGGCGUGCUAAUCUGCGAAAAGCGUCGGUAAGCUGAUAUGAAGCGUAAUAACCGACGAUACCCGAAUGGGGAAACCCAGUGCAAUUCGUUGCACUAUCGUUAGAUGAAUACAUAGUCUAACGAGGCGAACCGGGGGAACUGAAACAUCUAAGUACCCCGAGGAAAAGAAAUCAACCGAGAUUCCCCCAGUAGCGGCGAGCGAACGGGGAGGAGCCCAGAGUCUGAAUCAAGUGGUGUGUUAGUGGAAGCGUCUGGAAAGUCGCACGGUACAGGGUGAUAGUCCCGUACACCAAAACACACUGCCUGUGAACUCGAUGAGUAGGGCGGGACACGUGACAUCCUGUCUGAAUAUGGGGGGACCAUCCUCCAAGGCUAAAUACUCCUGACUGACCGAUAGUGAACCAGUACCGUGAGGGAAAGGCGAAAAGAACCCCGGCGAGGGGAGUGAAAUAGAACCUGAAACCGUGUACGUACAAGCAGUGGGAGCACCUUCGUGGUGUGACUGCGUACCUUUUGUAUAAUGGGUCAGCGACUUAUAUUUUGUAGCAAGGUUAACCGAAUAGGGGAGCCGUAGGGAAACCGAGUCUUAACUGGGCGUCUAGUUGCAAGGUAUAGACCCGAAACCCGGUGAUCUAGCCAUGGGCAGGUUGAAGGUUGGGUAACACUAACUGGAGGACCGAACCGACUAAUGUUGAAAAAUUAGCGGAUGACUUGUGGCUGGGGGUGAAAGGCCAAUCAAACCGGGAGAUAGCUGGUUCUCCCCGAAAGCUAUUUAGGUAGCGCCUCGUGAACUCAUCUUCGGGGGUAGAGCACUGUUUCGGCUAGGGGGCCAUCCCGGCUUACCAAACCGAUGCAAACUCCGAAUACCGAAGAAUGUUAUCACGGGAGACACACGGCGGGUGCUAACGUCCGUCGUGAAGAGGGAAACAACCCAGACCGCCAGCUAAGGUCCCAAAGUCAUGGUUAAGUGGGAAACGAUGUGGGAAGGCAUAGACAGCCAGGAUGUUGGCUUAGAAGCAGCCAUCAUUUAAAGAAAGCGUAAUAGCUCACUGGUCGAGUCGGCCUGCGCGGAAGAUGUAACGGGGCUAAACCAUGCACCGAAGCUGCGGCAGCGACGCUUAGGCGUUGUUGGGUAGGGGAGCGUUCUGUAAGCCGUUGAAGGUGGUCUGUGAGGGCUGCUGGAGGUAUCAGAAGUGCGAAUGCUGACAUAAGUAACGAUAAUGCGGGUGAAAAACCCGCACGCCGGAAGACCAAGGGUUCCUGUCCAACGUUAAUCGGGGCAGGGUGAGUCGACCCCUAAGGCGAGGCUGAAAAGCGUAGUCGAUGGGAAACAGGUUAAUAUUCCUGUACUUGGUGUUACUGCGAAGGGGGACGGAGAAGGCUAGGCUAGCCGGGCGACGGUUGUCCCGGUUUAAGCAUGUAGGCGGAGUGACUUGGUAAAUCCGGUUGCUUAUCAACGCUGAGGUGUGAUGACGAUGCACUACGGUGCAGAAGUAGUUGAUGCCAUGCUUCCAGGAAAAGCCUCUAAGCAUCAGGUAACAUGAAAUCGUACCCCAAACCGACACAGGUGGUCAGGUAGAGAAUACUCAGGCGCUUGAGAGAACUCGGGUGAAGGAACUAGGCAAAAUGGUGCCGUAACUUCGGGAGAAGGCACGCUGGCGCUAGGUGAAGAGACUUGCUCUCGGAGCUGAAGCCAGUCGCAGAUACCAGCUGGCUGCAACUGUUUAAUAAAAACACAGCACUGUGCAAACACGAAAGUGGACGUAUACGGUGUGACGCCUGCCCGGUGCUGGAAGGUUAAUUGAUGGGGUCAGCCGCAAGGCGAAGCUCUUGAUCGAAGCCCCAGUAAACGGCGGCCGUAACUAUAACGGUCCUAAGGUAGCGAAAUUCCUUGUCGGGUAAGUUCCGACCUGCACGAAUGGCGUAAUGAUGGCCAGGCUGUCUCCACCCGAGACUCAGUGAAAUUGAACUCGCUGUGAAGAUGCAGUGUACCCGCGGCAAGACGGAAAGACCCCGUGAACCUUUACUAUAGCUUGACACUGAACAUUGAGCCUUGAUGUGUAGGAUAGGUGGGAGGCAUUGAAGUGUGGACGCCAGUCUGCAUGGAGCCAACCUUGAAAUACCACCCUUUAAUGUUUGAUGUUCUAACUCGGCCCCAUUAUCUGGGGUGAGGACAGUGUCUGGUGGGUAGUUUGACUGGGGCGGUCUCCUCCCAAAGAGUAACGGAGGAGCACGAAGGUUAGCUAAUCACGGUCGGACAUCGUGAGGUUAGUGCAAAGGCAUAAGCUAGCUUGACUGCGAGAGUGACGGCUCGAGCAGGUACGAAAGUAGGUCUUAGUGAUCCGGUGGUUCUGAAUGGAAGGGCCAUCGCUCAACGGAUAAAAGGUACUCCGGGGAUAACAGGCUGAUACCGCCCAAGAGUUCAUAUCGACGGCGGUGUUUGGCACCUCGAUGUCGGCUCAUCACAUCCUGGGGCUGAAGUAGGUCCCAAGGGUAUGGCUGUUCGCCAUUUAAAGUGGUACGCGAGCUGGGUUUAGAACGUCGUGAGACAGUUCGGUCCCUAUCUGCCGUGGGCGUUGGAAGAUUGAGAGGGGCUGCUCCUAGUACGAGAGGACCGGAGUGGACGAAUCACUGGUGUUCGGGUUGUCAUGCCAAUGGCAUUGCCCGGUAGCUAAAUUCGGAAGAGAUAACCGCUGAAAGCAUCUAAGCGGGAAACUUGCCUCGAGAUGAGUCUUCCCUGGGGCUUCAAGCCCCCUGAAGGAACGUUAAAGACGAUGACGUUGAUAGGCUGGGUGUGUAAGUGCAGCGAUGCAUUGAGCUAACCAGUACUAAUGAUCCGUGAGGCUUAACCUUACAACACCAAAGGUGUUUUG
This 2935-nucleotide ribosomal RNA is filed under the name Yersinia frederiksenii. RNAcentral describes it as "bacterial LSU rRNA". It matches the Rfam family "Bacterial large subunit ribosomal RNA". The record is from RNAcentral. Lineage: Bacteria; Pseudomonadati; Pseudomonadota; Gammaproteobacteria; Enterobacterales; Yersiniaceae.